This 73-nucleotide transfer RNA is filed under the name Burkholderia pseudomallei. RNAcentral describes it as "tRNA-Arg". The record is from RNAcentral. Lineage: Bacteria; Pseudomonadati; Pseudomonadota; Betaproteobacteria; Burkholderiales; Burkholderiaceae.
UCGACCAGUAUCCGGUGAGUUAUCUGCCCUCCGAAGGCAGGGGUUGCUGGUUCGAUCCCAGCCGGGCGCGCCA